GACGAACGCUGGCGGCGUGCUUAACACAUGCAAGUCGAACGGAAAGGCCCUGCUUUUGUGGGGUGCUCGAGUGGCGAACGGGUGAGUAACACGUGAGUAACCUGCCCUUGACUUUGGGAUAACUUCAGGAAACUGGGGCUAAUACCGGAUAGGAGCUCCUGCUGCAUGGUGGGGGUCGGAAAGUUUCGGCGGUUGGGGAUGGACUCGCGGCUUAUCAGCUUGUUGGUGGGGUAGUGGCUUACCAAGGCUUUGACGGGUAGCCGGCCUGAGAGGGUGACCGGCCACAUUGGGACUGAGAUACGGCCCAGACUCCUACGGGAGGCAGCAGUGGGGAAUAUUGCACAAUGGGCGGAAGCCUGAUGCGGCAACGCCGCGUGCGGGAUGACGGCCUUCGGGUUGUAAACCGCUUUCGCCUGUGACGAAGCGUGAGUGACGGUAAUGGGUAAAGAAGCACCGGCUAACUACGUG
RNAcentral lists this ribosomal RNA (468 nucleotides) under uncultured bacterium. RNAcentral describes it as "partial 16S ribosomal RNA". It matches the Rfam family "Bacterial small subunit ribosomal RNA", at positions 28 to 507 of the family's 1533-position model. The record is from RNAcentral.